GGUUGCGAUCAUACCAGCACUAAUGCACCGGAUCCCAUCAGAACUCCGCAGUUAAGCGUGCUUUGGCGAGAGUAGUACUAGGAUGGGUGACCCCCUGGGAAGUCCUCGUGUUGCAACCC
This 119-nucleotide ribosomal RNA is filed under the name Helianthus annuus (common sunflower). The record is from RNAcentral. Lineage: Eukaryota; Viridiplantae; Streptophyta; Magnoliopsida; Asterales; Asteraceae.